This is a small nuclear RNA of Hibiscus syriacus, 118 nucleotides long. RefSeq annotates it as U5 spliceosomal RNA. The transcript has a single exon. The record is from RefSeq and is a predicted model, not a curated record. NCBI's taxonomy places the organism in Eukaryota, Viridiplantae, Streptophyta, Magnoliopsida, Malvales, Malvaceae.
AGCUACCCAGUGACCAUAAAACGAACUAUUCUUUCACCUUUUACUAAAGAAUGCCGUGUGCUCGCUGUAGAAAGUGACAUACACCUAUUUUUGGAGGGCUUUUUCUUGGGAAAGGGCC